GCCAGACUCCUACGGGAGGCAGCAGUGGGGGAUAUUGCACAAUGGGGGGAACCCUGAUGCAGCGACGCCGCGUGGGUGAAGGAGCGUUUCGGCGCGUAAAGCCCUCUCGGCAGGGAAGAAGGAGGACGGUACCUGACUAAGAAGCCCCGGCUAACUACGUGCCAGCAGCCGCGGUAAUACGUAGGGGGCAAGCGUUAUCCGGAUUUACUGGGUGUAAAGGGGGCGCAGACGGCAGCGCAAGCCAGGAGUGAAAGCCCGGGGCCCAACCCCGGGACUGCUCUUGGAACUGCGCGGCUGGAGUGCAGGAGGGGCAGGCGGAAUUCCUGGUGUAGCGGUGAAAUGCGUAGAUAUCAGGAGGAACACCGGUGGCGAAGGCGGCCUGCUGGACUGCGACUGACGUUGAGGCCCGAAAGCGUGGGGAGCAAACAGGAUUAGAUACCCCGGUAUA
This 448-nucleotide ribosomal RNA is filed under the name uncultured bacterium. RNAcentral's name for it is "partial 16S ribosomal RNA". It matches the Rfam family "Bacterial small subunit ribosomal RNA", at positions 330 to 794 of the family's 1533-position model. The record is from RNAcentral.